GACACGGGUUCGUGCCCCGGUCCGGGAAGAUCCCACAUGCCGUGGAGCAGCUGGGCCCAUGAGCCAUGGCUGCUGAGCCUGCACGUCCGGAGCCUGUGCCCCACAACGGGAGAGGCCACAGCAGUGGGAGGCCCGUGUACCGCAAAAAAAAUAAUAAAAAAAUAAAAUAAAUAAAAAUACAAACAGGCUGAGGAAAAGGUUCUGAUUAAAGUUACACUUUAGGGUGCUUAGAAAAUUCCCCUUCCUAGAGCAGAUUGCUUGCUUGUUUUUAGUUCACGUGGGAUCAUGUUGGACCAAGGUCUGUUGGCAGUGAGCAAAUUCUGCCGCAGAGCUGAAGCCCACAUCUCCCUGACACCAUCCUCAGUGGGUAAGGAAUGUGCAAGUCACUAUCAUGGUUCUUAUCUUCCCACCCCUCUUGUCUCUUAGAUUAGAGACAGCACAUGCAAAAGCAAUCCCACAUGUCCUUGUCUUUAAAAAACCAGGUCACUCCUGUUAGUUUUUGGUCAGUUCUUUCUUAGGUAGAGAUAGGAUUUUGAAACCAUUGCUAGAAUCAUAUUAGCUUGAAAUCACUUACUGGCUUUGUGAAUUCCCCAUCCUUUAACAAAGGCUAAUUUUUUAAAAAAAUUAUUUAUUUUAUUUAUUUUUUGGCUGUGUUGGGUCUUCGUUGCUGCGUGUGGGCUUUCUCUAGUUGCGGUGAGUGUAGGCUACUCUUCGUUGCGGUGCGCGGGCUUCUCAUUGUCGUGGCUUCUCUUGUUGCAGAGCAUGGGCUGUAGGCAUGCGGGCUUCAGUAGUUGCAGCACACGGGCUCAGUAGAUGUGGCUUGCGGGCUCUAGAGCUCAGGCUCAGUAGUUGUGGCGCACGGGCUUAGUUGCUCCACGGCAUGUGGGAUCUUCCUGGUCCAGGGCUCGAACCCAUGUCCCCUUUAUUGGCAGGCGUGUUCUUAACCACUGCGCCACCAGGGAAGCCCAAGGCUAAUUCUUUGUUCACUACUGUUUUCAACCCCUGCUGCUUUGGUCAGAGGUGUUGGCUCUCUCUAUUCCUGAGAAUUGUUUUUAUCCCAUGGAAUUGGAGAUCAGUAACACCCAGUUCCCUUCCCCACUUCAUGAACAACUGCUUAUAAUCCAGAAAUCUAGAAAUAUGGUGCAAUACUAUUCAAUAUUGCUUUGCAUUAUACUGAUUCAAAUAAUACUGUGAAUCUAAACUAUGUUUAUCUAAACAUAACUCUGUACAAUAAAAAUUACAUGUUUGAUGUUAGUCUGCUGACUCAAAACCAAAAUGAAGAAUUUCCAUUAUAUUUGUUAAGUGGUCUUUAUUUAUAAGACUGCCAGUGGCUUUAGGGAGAAUAUUUAAAUAAAAUAUAUCUACCAGUCAAAACAAAAGGAGUUUUUAAUCAGCAACUUCAAGAGUAUAAAAGCUGCUUAUUCAUAAUCACGAAUCAGAAUGAUUAAAAUCUUACUGAGGGCUUCCCUGGUGGCGCAGUGGUUGAGAGUCCACCUGCCGAUGCAGGGGAUGCGGGUUCAUGCCCCGGUCCGGGAAGAUCCCGCAUGCCGCGGAGCGGCUGGGCCCGCGAGCCAUGGCCGCUGAGCAUGCGCGUCCAGAGCCUGUGCUCCGUGACGGGGGAGGCCGCAACAGUGAGAGGGCCGCGUACCGCAAACAAACAAACAAAAACUCACUGAGGUCACGCAAACCCCAGGUGUUUCUCUGCCACUUUGUUCUGGUGGCCUGACUGAACUGUGUGAUGUGACAUCACAGCUCAAAGGGAAAGAAUGUCAGUGGGGUGGACUUAGUUUUUCCCUUCUCAUGCCAAAGUCCCAAGGGCCUCGUUUUAGAAGGCGGUGCCCUGGGAAAACUGCCAACUUCUUCAGGCUAUCCUCCUUAAAGGCUCAGGUAUCGUGGGCCUCUGCUCCCCCAAAUCUGUGUUUAGUGAGAAGGAAAAGAUGUCCGUGUUCACCGGGGACUGAGGGUAUGUGACUCCCCCAGACCAGGCCUAAAAUGCUCCAAAUCCUGCUCAUUUUGUGCUGGUGACAGAUCAUUCUUCUCACUUGCUAAAGAGGCACCAUCAAGACUGGAUUUCGACCUGAGGAAAGAAAAUCCAAGAAGUCCACAUCGAUAAUCCCUCAGGACUCUAAGGACACGGUGUGGGGGACGGGGUGAUUCCAGCAGGCGGGAUCCCAAACUGAAGAAACCGUACCUUUUGGAAGGGAGAAGUAUCGAUUGAGCUGUGAAAGUAAUUAUAUCAUCUCAAAAGUAUUUUAAGCAGUAUAAGGAGGAGUACUGGAGGCUGAUUAUUGAAACUGCAGCUAUAGUUCAAUCCAGAAUUCUGUGAAUACUUAACAAGUGUUAACUGAGAGAGGCAUAAUGUUAAAUGCCUCGGGGCACACAAGACAGUCCUUAUCCUUAAGGAACCUGUGCGCAUAUCAAGCAUCUUUCUAAAAAGGCAGUACAUGAUGUAGCAUCAAAACAAUACAUAUCAUGGGCGUUAGGAGGUGGUAUAGAGACAGUUAAGUCCAACAGGAGGUAAGAGAAGAGACCAGCAGGUCAGUGAGGGCUUAAUACACUGGGCCUAACAGGAUGAGCAGGAAUUGGGUAUGGGGAAAAGAGAGACAGAACAUCCCAGAGUGGGAAAAUAGAAGUAAAAUCAGGAUAAAAAAAGAACAUGUUUGGAAGUCCUUCCUUUGUUCUCAUAAGGGCAGAGGUCAGAGCUCCCGGAUUUCUUUCCAAGGCGAUUCUAGUCCUGGCUCUUCCUUUGAGUAGAAUUCGCAUCUUUAACCGUACAGCGAAACCCAGCCAUUUCAAAGUGGAAUGCAUGCAUGAUUUUUAGAGGUAUACACAUGGAAAAAUUUUGUGAUACAAUUAUGUAGAUUUUUUUCUGUUUAUUGGGGGGAAAAAAUGGCACAUGAAAUUCAUGAUUCCACGAUAGGAUUCUCUAGAAUGAGGCUCAGUUAAAAUAAUGUUUGGUUCAAAGUGAAUUUAAGAAGACUCUUAAGCAAUUUGGGUGGCAUAUGGGUGUGACAGAGGGACAGAAAUGAAGUUAGAGAGACUUUGGACUCUGGCUUUCUCAGCUGUGAAGAGACUGACUAUGUGAUGUCCCAGGCCUCUGCUGCCCGCAACAGUUUUGAGUCCACAGUGCUCAAACCAGAGGCAAAAUAUCUCUCAUCAAUUCAAGGCACAGAGAUUUGGAUUCAGUUACUGGCCACUGAACCAAUUCACAGAUAUAAAUUUCUUUAGAAUUCUAGGAAUUACUUUUUAAAAAAAACUAUGAGUAGACAUUUGUACUCUACUUGAAAAUAAAAUUGUUUUUACAAAU
Molecule: long non-coding RNA, 3307 nt
Organism: Orcinus orca (killer whale)
Lineage: Eukaryota; Metazoa; Chordata; Mammalia; Artiodactyla; Delphinidae
Exons: 3
Source: RefSeq, a predicted model, not a curated record